GAUGAACGCUGGCGGCGUGCUUAACACAUGCAAGUCGAACGGAAAGGCCCAAGCUUGCUUGGGUCCUCGAGUGGCGAACGGGUGAGUAACACGUGGGUGAUCUGCCCUGCACUUCGGGAUAAGCCUGGGAAACUGGGUCUAAUACCGGAUAGGACGAUGGUUUGGAUGCCAUUGUGGAAAGUUUUUUCGGUGUGGGAUGAGCUCGCGGCCUAUCAGCUUGUUGGUGGGGUAAUGGCCUACCAAGGCGUCGACGGGUAGCCGGCCUGAGAGGGUGUACGGCCACAUUGGGACUGAGAUACGGCCCAGACUCCUACGGGAGGCAGCAGUGGGGAAUAUUGCACAAUGGGCGCAAGCCUGAUGCAGCGACGCCGCGUGGGGGAUGACGGCCUUCGGGUUGUAAACGCCUUUCGCUAGGGACGAAGCGUUUUGUGACGGUACCUGGAGAAGAAGCACCGGCUAACUACGUG
This 467-nucleotide ribosomal RNA is filed under the name uncultured bacterium. RNAcentral describes it as "partial 16S ribosomal RNA". It matches the Rfam family "Bacterial small subunit ribosomal RNA", at positions 28 to 507 of the family's 1533-position model. The record is from RNAcentral.